AGGAAGAACGCCUGUCGGUUAAUACCCGGCAGGGGAGACAUCACUCGCAGAAGAAGCACCGGCUAACUCCGUGCCAGCAGCCGCGGUAAUACGGAGGGUGCGAGCGUUAAUCGGAAUUACUGGGCGUAAAGCGUGCGUAGGCGGCUUGAUAAGCCGGUUGUGAAAGCCCCGGGCUCAACCUGGGAACGGCAUCCGGAACUGUCAGGCUAGAGUGCAGGAGAGGAAGGUAGAAUUCCCGGUGUAGCGGUGAAAUGCGUAGAGAUCGGGAGGAAUACCAGUGGCGAAGGCGGCCUUCUGGACUGACACUGACGCUGAGGUACGAAAGCGUGCGUAGCAAACAGGAUUAGAUACCCUGGUAGUCCACGCCGUAAACGAUGUCGACUAGCCGUUGGGGUCCUCGAGACUUUUGUGGCGCAGUUAACGCACUAAGUCGACCGGCCUGGGGGAGUACGGCCGCUAGGGUUAAAA
Molecule: ribosomal RNA, 468 nt
Filed under: Halomonas elongata
Lineage: Bacteria; Pseudomonadati; Pseudomonadota; Gammaproteobacteria; Oceanospirillales; Halomonadaceae
Description: bacterial SSU rRNA
Rfam family: Bacterial small subunit ribosomal RNA
Source: RNAcentral